RNAcentral lists this ribosomal RNA (454 nucleotides) under uncultured Sphingobacteriales bacterium. RNAcentral describes it as "bacterial SSU rRNA". It matches the Rfam family "Bacterial small subunit ribosomal RNA", at positions 927 to 1382 of the family's 1533-position model. Lineage: Bacteria; Pseudomonadati; Bacteroidota; Sphingobacteriia; Sphingobacteriales. The record is from RNAcentral.
AAGCGGAGGAACAUGUGGUUUAAUUCGAUGAUACGCGAGGAACCUUACCUGGCUUAAAUGUAGAGUGCAUUUUUUAGAGAUAGAAAUUCCCUUCGGGGCUUUCUGCAAGGUGCUGCAUGGUUGUCGUCAGCUCGUGCCGUGAGGUGUCGGGUUAAGUCCCAUAACGAGCGCAACCCUUUAUCGUUAGUUGCCAUCUGGUAAUGCAGGGGACUCUAGCGAAACUGCCACCGUAAGGUGAGAGGAAGUGGGGAUGACGUCAAAUCAGCACGGCCCUUAUGUCCAGGGCUACACACGUGUUACAAUGGUCGGUACAGAGGGCAGCUACCUGGUGACAGGAUGCUAAUCUCGAAAACCGGUCUCAGUUCGGAUCGAAGUCUGCAACUCGACUUCGUGAAGCUGGAUUCGCUAGUAAUCGCGCAUCAGCUAUGGCGCGGUGAAUACGUUCCCGGGCCUU